UGAUGACAUCACAAAUGUGAGUCUAGCAGCAAUAUGGAAGAGCACACUGUCAUGGCUGUUAUUGCUUCCUGAUUUAAGUUGUAUUGAAGGCACAUUCGUUUUACGUCAUUCCACAAGCAACAGUAAAGGUUAAACAUUACUCCUUGAGUCUGUUGUCUUUUGGGAAACGUUAUCUGACUGCCGAGUCAAGCAAGGCGUUUGAUGCAGAGGGCAGAACAGAGAGUAUGCACAUCACGUUACCAUCAGACGACUCCAGUGCGAGAAGCUGCCAUUUUCUCAGUGUCUACAGAUGAAAACGAGUGAAAGUACGUUAGUAAGGUAAGGAAAGUAUGGUAAGUAAAGAUUAAAAAUGUAAAGUCAUCAUUCAUUGUGUGUGUCCGGAAGUAUUUUGAAAUUUCAUGGAAUUCCGAAAAAUGUCGGAAAAGAGCUUAUAUUGAAAAAUAAGCGGACCUGGAAAUAGUCUUAACGGCCUCUUCAACAUUAGUGAUUUUCUUAUGUCAUUUACAGAUAAUUUUAAGUGUUAAUAGAGGGUUAUUAACAAAUUUACAUGUUAAUUUAAUUUUCUUUUUCCACAAAUAAACUGAAAGUAGUUUCCUAAAGGAAAUGGUGUCAUUUACAGUUUUUCUCAACUCUAAACACAAAUCCGUAACUUCUCAAUUCAAAACUCAAUUCCCCCGAACUUACUAUAUUCAGGUCAAAAUGAAGCUCUCCACUCAAAACCACUCAAUCUUGCUGAAAAAAAACAAACUUUGCUCUCAGACAUGACACACAAACCCUCAAAAACACACACACUACAACACAUUUUUACACACUGAUGAGAUCAGUUCAAAACAAUACUACGAAAACUGGUAAUAAGUGUUGCUUGGAAAAAAAUCACAUGAUGAACACAACAAAUGUAUGCAUUUGCAAGUGUUUUAAUCCUUAAUUUAUUGUACUGUAGAGUACAGCACAAAACAGCAAACAACAACAAAAAUCAUUAUUCUGCCCCAGCAUCACAGACUAAACUGUUCCUGGACAGGCAGCGGAGGUAAAAUCCUCUUGCAUGCCUGAUCCAACCCUUGCACGCAUCAACUAAAAUAUAUGAGACUGCUUGUUUUCUGGCCCUCCCUAUUUCUCUUCCACGUUGUUGUUGUCGUCGUCUUCUUCUUCUCCUCCUCUUCCUCUUUCACCUCCUACUCUUUGUCUUCGAAAUUGCAUAUUACUGUAUGCGGGAUAUUGAUUGAAAAAGACCGGAUAGGAUUCACAGUUACACUUUUACUAGUGGUCUGACAAAAAAAAAAAAAAAACAGUCAUUGUGAAAUAGAAAAUAAAAAGGAAAUAUGGGCAAAGGCAGAAAUAUAAAUUAGAAAGUCCACUGUCAGAAUUUGUAACUCUUGUGUUGUCCUCUGUCUAUAUAUGCUUUCCAAUUGAAGGUUCAUGAGAUGUUGAGAUGUACCUUUGAGCUAUUUCAGAGAACGGCUUUAUCAUUGGUUGAUCUGUAGUCUCUACAUUAGUGAAAGUCAAUAUUCACUUGAACAAUUCAUGGCAAAUUUACAAAAAGUCUAAUAGAAAUGUGUAGAAUAUGCUUGACAGUUUAUGACAACUAGAUAAAAAAUUUAGCAUUUACUGCAAAAACAUAUACGAUGAGCUAAUGACUUGAUGUUUUGAGGGGUAAAACUAUAGCGACAUGACAAUAGGAACUGAUAAUGUAGGAAACAGCAGACAAAUCAGUUGCAUAAUCAGUUGCAUGAACGUACCAAAGCAAACGCAACUUGUUAAAAAACAAUUAGAAACAUUUUAUGAUGUGCAUAAGUGACUAGAUGAUGUGGAGGUUGAGCAAGUAGUUUUGAGAAUUUCAUUUCUGAUCUGAGAAAUGCGCCAAACUGUAAGCUGACUUUGGCCCUUUUAUCUCCAUCGAAGGUUCUGACUGGUGUGUGAUAAAUUUUGACUCCUAGUGUUUUUGCUUGGGUAAUUGUGUUCUAAUUGAGCUCAAACAUUGUAGACUUGAGUGAACAGUAUUGAAUGCUAGUGCUUUCUAAAUGAUCACAUGGUGUAAGCACUGAGAAAUGUAGGGAUUUGUGUGUAGAGUUAUGCAGUAACAGUUCACCGAAUCUGACUCAUGUGUUAAAGCAGGGGAAUAGUGUUUAUAGUUCAGGGAAAUGGGUGUGCUUUUUUAAAAAUGGCAUUAUGGUUUUGAAAUUUUAGUUCAAAAGACUGGUUAUAGUGUUUUAGCAAUCAAGAAAAACUGUAAUAAAGACUAGCCUAAUUAUUUUGAGGCUGAUGAAGUUGUAAUUGUUAAAAGUAAUGUCUUAGACUUGUUGAGCUUUGUGUCUUCAUUGAAGCCUCCAUGUGUGAGGAGGCGAUCUUCUCAGCUUCUUCAGAAGAGAGGGAAAGAUGGUUUAAGUUUAAGGCAAGUAAAGUUCAUAAUUCCAUGUUAUCAUUUUUUUUUUUUUUUUUUUUUUUACUUAGAGUAAAAGAAUGUUUGUUUUUUGUAGAUGUUAAAAGCCAGAGACACUCUUAAAAAUAAAGGUGCUUUAAAAGGUUCUUCACAGCGAUGCCAUAAAAUAACCAUUUUUGGUUCCACAAACCAUACAGUCAAAGGUUCUUUAAAGAACCAUCUCUGUCUUACCUUUUUAUAAUCUGAAGAACCUUCUUUCGCCACAAAGAACCUUUUGUGAAACAGAAAGGUUCUUCAGACAUUAAAGGUUCUUUAUGAAACCAUUUAGACAAAAGAGUUCUUCUAUGGCAUCGUGAGGCACCUUUAUUUUUAAGAGUGUAGGGGGGGCUUCAUUCUUUCAGGACUGAUUACUCAAACCAACUUUGAAGCUAACAACACAGAUGCCUGCUUGUUUCUCAGCUUCUUCAGAAAAAGAGGGAAAGAUGAUUUAAGGCAAGUAAAGGUAUUAAUUUCAUGUUAUCAAAAAAAAUUUAAUAGUAAAAAAAUGUUUUAUGUAGAUGUUAAAAGCCAGAGACAUAGGAGAGCUUCAUUCUUUUGAAAUUGAUUUAAGUUAUUUGUAGGAAAUAAAUGUUUCCAUUGUCUACUGCCUAUUUGAUGCAACAACAGUAUGACGCCUUUUAAUUAAACUGUGUUUCCUUAUCUGUCGUACACUCCGAGUUGUGUCAAGUAGUGUACGACACUAGGGGGUCGCUCUUG
Molecule: long non-coding RNA, 3133 nt
Organism: Labeo rohita (rohu)
Lineage: Eukaryota; Metazoa; Chordata; Actinopteri; Cypriniformes; Cyprinidae
Exons: 3
Source: RefSeq, a predicted model, not a curated record